RNAcentral lists this ribosomal RNA (468 nucleotides) under uncultured bacterium. RNAcentral's name for it is "partial 16S ribosomal RNA". It matches the Rfam family "Bacterial small subunit ribosomal RNA", at positions 28 to 507 of the family's 1533-position model. The record is from RNAcentral.
GACGAACGCUGGCGGCGUGCUUAACACAUGCAAGUCGAACGGAAAGGCCCUGCUUUUGUGGGGUUCUCGAGUGGCGAACGGGUGAGUAACACGUGAGUAACCUGCCCCUGACUGUGUGAUAACUUCACGAAACUGCGGCUAAUAUCGGAUAGGAUCUCCUGCUGCAUGGUGGGCGUUGGAAAGUUUCGGCGGUUGGGGAUGGACUCGCGGCUUAUCAGCUGGUUUGUGGGGUAGUGGCUGUCCAAGGCUUUGACGGGUAGCCGGCCUGAGAGGGUUACCGGGCACCUUGGGACUGAGAUACGGACCAGAAUCCUACGGGAGGCAGCAGUGGGGAAUAUUGCACAAUGGGCGGAAGCCUGAGGCAGCAGCGCCGCGUGCGGGAUGACGGCCUUCGGGUUGUAAACCGCUUUCGCCUGUGACGAAGCGUGAGUGACGGUAAUGGGUAAAGAAGCACCGGCUAACUACGUG